AGAGCGAACGCUGGCGGCAGGCCUAAUACAUGCAAGUCGAACGGAUCCUUCGGGAUUAGUGGCGGACGGGUGAGUAACACGUGGGAACGUGCCUUUUGGUUCGGAACAACUCAGGGAAACUUGAGCUAAUACCGGAUGUGCCCUUCGGGGGAAAGAUUUAUCGCCAUUAGAGCGGCCCGCGUCUGAUUAGCUAGUUGGUGAGGUAAAGGCUCACCAAGGCGACGAUCAGUAGCUGGUCUGAGAGGAUGAUCAGCCACACUGGGACUGAGACACGGCCCAGACUCCUACGGGAGGCAGCAGUGGGGAAUAUUGGACAAUGGGCGCAAGCCUGAUCCAGCAAUGCCGCGUGAGUGAUGAAGGCCCUAGGGUUGUAAAGCUCUUUUGUGCGGGUAAGAUAAUGACGGUACCGCAAGAAUAAGCCCCGGCUAACUUCGUGCCAGCAGCCGC
This 447-nucleotide ribosomal RNA is filed under the name uncultured bacterium. RNAcentral's name for it is "SSU rRNA". It matches the Rfam family "Bacterial small subunit ribosomal RNA", at positions 26 to 518 of the family's 1533-position model. The record is from RNAcentral.